GAUGAACGCUGGCGGCGUGCCUAAUACAUGCAAGUCGAGCGAAUGGAUUAAGAGCUUGCUCUUAUGAAGUUAGCGGCGGGCGGGUGAGUAACACGUGGGUAACCUGCCCAUAAGACUGGGAUAACUCCGGGAAACCGGGGCUAAUACCGGAUAACAUUUUGAACCGCAUGGUUCGAAAUUGAAAGGCGGCUUCGGCUGUCACUUAUGGAUGGACCCGCGUCGCAUUAGCUAGUUGGUGAGGUAACGGCUCACCAAGGCAACGAUGCGUAGCCGACCUGGGGGGGUGAUCGGCCAAGCUGGGACUGAGACACGGCACAGGCUCCUACGGGAGGCAGCAGUAGGGAAUCUUCCGCAAUGGACGAAAGUCUGACGGAGCAACGCCGCGUGAGUGAUGAAGGCUUUCGGGUCGUAAAACUCUGUUGUUAGGGAAGAACAAGUGCUAGUUGAAUAAGCUGGCACCUUGACGGUACCUAACCAGAAAGCCACGGCUAACUACGUGCCAGCAGCCGCGGUAA
This 515-nucleotide ribosomal RNA is filed under the name uncultured bacterium. RNAcentral's name for it is "partial 16S ribosomal RNA". It matches the Rfam family "Bacterial small subunit ribosomal RNA", at positions 28 to 523 of the family's 1533-position model. The record is from RNAcentral.